Molecule: ribosomal RNA, 632 nt
Filed under: Helicoverpa zea (corn earworm)
Lineage: Eukaryota; Metazoa; Arthropoda; Insecta; Lepidoptera; Noctuidae
Description: SSU rRNA
Rfam family: Eukaryotic small subunit ribosomal RNA
Source: RNAcentral
GCCAGCAGCCGCGGUAAUUCCAGCUCCAAUAGCGUAUACUAAAAUUGUUGCGGUUAAAAAGCUCGUAGUUGCAUUUGUGCGCCGCGCUGUCGGUGCACCGCAUCCGCGGUGAUACUGACACGUCUGCGGAGCAUAUCGUCGGUGAGCCGGCGGUAAUACGCCGGUUCAAUAUCAAAAUCCUAUCGCGGUGCUCUUCGGUGAGUGUCGAGGUGGGCCGACAAUUUUACUUUGAACAAAUUAGAGUGCUCAAAGCGGGCUCAAAAUGCUGCUUGAAUAUUUCGUGCAUGGAAUAAUAGAAUAUGAUCUCGGUUCUAUUUUGUUGGUUUUCAGAACUCCGAGGUAAUGAUUAAUAGGGAUAACUGGGGGCAUUCGUAUUGCGACGUUAGAGGUGAAAUUCUUGGAUCGUCGCAAGACGAACAUCAGCGAAAGCAUUUGCCAAAGGUGUUUUCAUCAAUCAAGAACGAAAGUUAGAGGUUCGAAGGCGAUUAGAUACCGCCCUAGUUCUAACCGUAAAUAUGUCAUCUAGCGAUCCGCCGACGUUACUACAAUGGCUCGGCGGGCAGCUUCCGGGAAACCAAAGAUUUUGGACUCCGGGGGGAGUAUGGUUGCAAAGCUGAAACUUAAAGGAUUNG